AGUGCGUACUAGGUUCUUUGGCUUUUCGUCGGUUUUCUUGUCGUGGCCUUUACUGGUGGCGGCAAGUGGCUGACAAUUUUACUUUGAACAAAUCAGAGUGCUCAACACAGGCGUUUCGCUUGUAUGCUUUUGCAUGGAAUAAUAGAAUAUGACUUCGGUCUAGUUUUAUUGGUUUUAUAGAUCGUUGUAAUGAUUAAAAGAGACAAACGGGGGCAUUCGUAUUGUUGCGUGAGAGGUGAAAUUCUUGGACCGCAGCAAGACGACCUACAGCGAAAGCAUUUGCCAAGCUUGUCUCCAUUAAUCAAGAACGAAAGUCAGAGGAUCGAAGGUGAUCAGAUACCGCCCUAGUUCUGACCGUAAACGAUGCCAACUAGCGAUUCGCCGGUGGAAUAUUUGCCCUGGCGAGGAGCUUCCCGGAAACGAAAGUCUUCCGGUUCCGGGGGAAGUAUGGUUGCAAAGCUGAAACUUAAAGGAAUUGACGGAAGGGCACCACCAGGAGUGGAGCCUGCGGCUUAAUUUGACUCAACACGGGAAAACUCACCCGGCCCGGACACUAUAAGGAUUGACAGAUUGAUAGCUCUUUCAUGAUUUGGUGGAUGGUGGUGCAUGGCCGUUCUUAGUUCGUGGAGUGAUUUGUCUGGUUUAUUCCGAUAACGAGCGAGACUCUAGCCUACUAAAUAGUUCGCUCAUUGUUUUGUGUAGCGAUACUUCCUAGAGGAAUUUGUCGG
This 728-nucleotide ribosomal RNA is filed under the name uncultured eukaryote. RNAcentral describes it as "SSU rRNA". It matches the Rfam family "Eukaryotic small subunit ribosomal RNA", at positions 674 to 1427 of the family's 1831-position model. The record is from RNAcentral.